UGCAGUCGAACGCCCCGCAAGGGGAGUGGCAGACGGGUGAGUAACGCGUGGGAAUCUACCGUGCCCUGCGGAAUAGCUCUGGGAAACUGGAAUUAAUACCGCAUACGCCCUACGGGGGAAAGAUUUAUCGGGGUAUGAUGAGCCCGCGUUGGAUUAGCUAGUUGGUGGGGUAAUGGCCUACCAAGGCGACGAUCCAUAGCUGGUCUGAGAGGAUGAUCAGCCACAUUGGGACUGAGACACGGCCCAAACUCCUACGGGAGGCAGCAGUGGGGAAUAUUGGACAAUGGGCGCAAGCCUGAUCCAGCCAUGCCGCGUGAGUGAUGAAGGCCUUAGGGUUGUAAAGCUCUUUCACCGGAGAAGAUAAUGACGGUAUCCGGAGAAGAAGCCCCGGCUAACUUCGUGCCAGCAGCCGCGGUAAUACGAAGGGGGCUAGCGUUGUUCGGAAUUACUGGGCGUAAAGCGCACGUAGGCGGAUAUUUAAGUCAGGGGUGAAAUCCCAGAGCUCAACUCUGGAACUGCCUUUGAUACUGGGUAUCUUGAGUAUGGAAGA
This 550-nucleotide ribosomal RNA is filed under the name Agrobacterium sp. AGR10(2010). Its description in RNAcentral is "bacterial SSU rRNA". It matches the Rfam family "Bacterial small subunit ribosomal RNA", at positions 56 to 655 of the family's 1533-position model. Lineage: Bacteria; Pseudomonadati; Pseudomonadota; Alphaproteobacteria; Hyphomicrobiales; Rhizobiaceae. The record is from RNAcentral.